Molecule: unclassified non-coding RNA, 380 nt
Filed under: uncultured bacterium
Lineage: Bacteria
Description: contains 16S-23S intergenic spacer region
Source: RNAcentral
UCCGGCUUGUCACCGGCAGUUUCUCCAGAGUGCCCGGCCGAACCGAUGGCAACUGAAGAUGGGGGUUGCGCUCGUUGCGGGACUUAACCCAACAUCUCACGGCACGAGCUGACGACAGCCAUGCAGCACCUGUGUGGACGCCAGCCGAACUGAAGGACCAGAUCUCUCUAGCCCAUACGUCCCAUGUCAAGGGUUGGUAAGGUUCUGCGCGUUGCUUCGAAUUAAACCACAUGCUCCACCGCUUGUGCGGGCCCCCGUCAAUUCCUUUGAGUUUCAGCCUUGCGACUGUACUCCCCAGGCGGCAUAUUUAACGCGUUAGCUCCGGCACAGAUCAACUGAAUGACCUACACCAAAUAUGCAUCGUUUAGGGCGUGGACUAC